Molecule: ribosomal RNA, 245 nt
Filed under: uncultured Silvimonas sp.
Lineage: Bacteria; Pseudomonadati; Pseudomonadota; Betaproteobacteria; Neisseriales; Chitinibacteraceae
Description: partial 16S ribosomal RNA
Rfam family: Bacterial small subunit ribosomal RNA
Source: RNAcentral
UACGUAGGGUCCAAGCGUUAAUCGGAAUUACUGGGCGUAAAGCGUGCGCAGGUGGCUUGUUAAGACCGAUGUGAAAUCCCCGGGCUCAACCCGGGAACUGCAUUGGUGACUGGCUCGCUAGAGUACGGCAGAGGGGGGUGGAAUUCCACGUGUAGCAGUGAAAUGCGUAGAGAUGUGGAGGAACACCGAUGGCGAAGGCAACCCCCUGGGCUGAUACUGACACUCAUGCACGAAAGCGUGGGGAG